This 441-nucleotide ribosomal RNA is filed under the name uncultured bacterium. RNAcentral describes it as "bacterial SSU rRNA". It matches the Rfam family "Bacterial small subunit ribosomal RNA", at positions 38 to 507 of the family's 1533-position model. The record is from RNAcentral.
GAAUUCACUAGUGAUUGGAUCNCAGGCCUAACACAUGCAAGUCGAGCGCCGUAGCAAUACGGAGCGGCAGACGGGAGAGUAACACGUGGGAACGUGCCCUUCAGUUCGGAACAACCCCAGGGAAACUUGGGCUAAUACCGGAUACGUCCGUAAGGAGAAAGAUUUAUCGCUGAAGGAUCGGCCCGCGUCUGAUUAGCUUGUUGGUGAGGUAACGGCUCACCAAGGCGACGAUCAGUAGCUGGUCUGAGAGGAUGAUCAGCCUCACUGGGACUGAGACACGGCCCAGACUCCUACGGGAGGCAGCAGUGGGGAAUAUUGGACAAUGGGGGCAACCCUGAUCCAGCAAUGCCGCGUGAGUGAGGAAGGCCUUAGGGUUGUAAAGCUCUUUCGCCCGCGACGAUGAUGACGGUAGCGGGAGAAGAAGCCCCGGCCAACUACGUG